RNAcentral lists this transfer RNA (72 nucleotides) under Camelus bactrianus (Bactrian camel). It matches the Rfam family "tRNA". Rfam says of the family: Transfer RNA (tRNA) molecules are approximately 80 nucleotides in length. RNAcentral also lists the same sequence under 1 other name. Lineage: Eukaryota; Metazoa; Chordata; Mammalia; Artiodactyla; Camelidae. The record is from Rfam by way of RNAcentral.
GUGGGUAUGGCUCAGUGGUAGAGCCCUUGCUUAGCAUGCACAAGCUCCUGGGUUCAAUCCCCGAUACCUCCA